UACGUAGGGGGCUAGCGUUGUCCGGAAUCAUUGGGCGUAAAGAGCGCGUAGGCGGCCAGAUAAGUCCGGUGUGAAAGUCACAGGCUCAACCUGUGAAUGCCGCUGGAAACUGUCUGGCUAGAGUCCGGGAGGGGCGAGUGGAAUUCCUGGUGUAGCGGUGAAAUGCGCAGAUAUCAGGAGGAACACCGGUGGCGAAGGCGGGUCUCUGGGCAGUAACUGACGCUGAGGAGCGAAAGCGUGGGGAGCGAACAGG
This 253-nucleotide ribosomal RNA is filed under the name uncultured bacterium. Its description in RNAcentral is "partial 16S ribosomal RNA". It matches the Rfam family "Bacterial small subunit ribosomal RNA", at positions 524 to 776 of the family's 1533-position model. The record is from RNAcentral.